This is a transfer RNA of 75 nucleotides. It matches the Rfam family "tRNA". Rfam says of the family: Transfer RNA (tRNA) molecules are approximately 80 nucleotides in length. Their secondary structure includes four short double-helical elements and three loops (D, anti-codon, and T loops). Further hydrogen bonds mediate the characteristic L-shaped molecular structure. tRNAs have two regions of fundamental functional importance: the anti-codon, which is responsible for specific mRNA codon recognition, and the 3' end, to which the tRNAs corresponding amino acid is attached (by aminoacyl-tRNA synthetases). tRNAs cope with the degeneracy of the genetic code in two manners: having more than one tRNA (with a specific anti-codon) for a particular amino acid; and 'wobble' base-pairing, i.e. permitting non-standard base-pairing at the 3rd anti-codon position.
GGUUCCGUAGUGUAGUGGGCUGCACGGCUGAUUGUCGAUCAGUGAGUACGAGUUCGAUCCUCGUCGGAACCGCCA